This 23-nucleotide non-coding RNA is filed under the name Cricetulus griseus (Chinese hamster). The record is from RNAcentral. Lineage: Eukaryota; Metazoa; Chordata; Mammalia; Rodentia; Cricetidae.
AAUAACUGGAGGGCUUAGCAAAC